UCCCUGGUUGUCCAGUGGCUAAGACUCUGCGCUCCCGAUGCAGGGGGCUCAGGUUCGAUCCCUGGUCAGGGAA
This 73-nucleotide transfer RNA is filed under the name Bos taurus (domestic cattle). It matches the Rfam family "tRNA". Rfam says of the family: Transfer RNA (tRNA) molecules are approximately 80 nucleotides in length. Their secondary structure includes four short double-helical elements and three loops (D, anti-codon, and T loops). Further hydrogen bonds mediate the characteristic L-shaped molecular structure. tRNAs have two regions of fundamental functional importance: the anti-codon, which is responsible for specific mRNA codon recognition, and the 3' end, to which the tRNAs corresponding amino acid is attached (by aminoacyl-tRNA synthetases). tRNAs cope with the degeneracy of the genetic code in two manners: having more than one tRNA (with a specific anti-codon) for a particular amino acid; and 'wobble' base-pairing, i.e. permitting non-standard base-pairing at the 3rd anti-codon position. The record is from Rfam by way of RNAcentral. RNAcentral also lists the same sequence under 5 other names. Lineage: Eukaryota; Metazoa; Chordata; Mammalia; Artiodactyla; Bovidae.